RNAcentral lists this ribosomal RNA (910 nucleotides) under Alteromonas sp. N41(2010). Its description in RNAcentral is "bacterial SSU rRNA". It matches the Rfam family "Bacterial small subunit ribosomal RNA", at positions 77 to 991 of the family's 1533-position model. The record is from RNAcentral. Lineage: Bacteria; Pseudomonadati; Pseudomonadota; Gammaproteobacteria; Alteromonadales; Alteromonadaceae.
UUGCUAGAAGAUGACGAGUGGCGGACGGGUGAGUAAUGCUUGGGAACUUGCCUUUGCGAGGGGGAUAACAGUUGGAAACGACUGCUAAUACCGCAUAAUGUCUUCGGACCAAACGGGGCUUCGGCUCCGGCGCAAAGAGAGGCCCAAGUGAGAUUAGCUAGUUGGUAAGGUAACGGCUUACCAAGGCGACGAUCUCUAGCUGUUCUGAGAGGAAGAUCAGCCACACUGGGACUGAGACACGGCCCAGACUCCUACGGGAGGCAGCAGUGGGGAAUAUUGCACAAUGGGGGAAACCCUGAUGCAGCCAUGCCGCGUGUGUGAAGAAGGCCUUCGGGUUGUAAAGCACUUUCAGUUGUGAGGAAAAGUUAGUAGUUAAUACCUGCUAGCCGUGACGUUAACAACAGAAGAAGCACCGGCUAACUCCGUGCCAGCAGCCGCGGUAAUACGGAGGGUGCGAGCGUUAAUCGGAAUUACUGGGCGUAAAGCGCACGCAGGCGGUUUGUUAAGCUAGAUGUGAAAGCCCCGGGCUCAACCUGGGAUGGUCAUUUAGAACUGGCAGACUAGAGUCUUGGAGAGGGGAGUGGAAUUCCAGGUGUAGCGGUGAAAUGCGUAGAUAUCUGGAGGAACAUCAGUGGCGAAGGCGACUCCCUGGCCAAAGACUGACGCUCAUGUGCGAAAGUGUGGGUAGCGAACAGGAUUAGAUACCCUGGUAGUCCACACCGUAAACGCUGUCUACUAGCUGUGUGUGUCUUUAAGGCGUGCGUAGCGAAGCUAACGCGCUAAGUAGACCGCCUGGGGAGUACGGCCGCAAGGUUAAAACUCAAAUGAAUUGACGGGGGCCCGCACAAGCGGUGGAGCAUGGUGGUUUAAUUCGAUGCAACGCGAGACCUUACCUACACUUGACAUGCUG